This 24-nucleotide non-coding RNA is filed under the name Arabidopsis thaliana (thale cress). Lineage: Eukaryota; Viridiplantae; Streptophyta; Magnoliopsida; Brassicales; Brassicaceae. The record is from RNAcentral.
CAUCUGUUUGACCCAAAGAGGACA